AAAAAAAUUUUUUUAUAUUUUUACAAAAAAAAAAUUUUUUUUACCAGCAAUGAUAAUUUAUCCGGGGGAACUCGAAAUUAAAUUGGUGGCGCUGGGUAUGCUAUUUUUGUUAUGUUUUGGGACUUAUUUAACAAUUGGCAUUUUAUUGUUGUGUCAAAAAUAAUUCCAUAAAAAGUUAAUUAAUGGUUAUAAAAUUAAGUAAUUUACACUUAAUCAAAUGUAAGUUAGGUAAAUUUGAAACGCAAAACAUAUGGUUAAUUAUCGGAUUAGUGUUUAGUAUAAAACUGCAAGUGUAAGCAUUGUAAUUUUUUGUGGUUAUGAAUAACUUGAUCGAUAAAAUAAAAACAAUCAAAAAGAAUCAGUAUAUAAAAAAGCAUAUUUAUCGUGGAUAAUCUAAAUAUGACUGGAAAAAUAAUCGUCUAAAGUAUGUCCCAAUAUUGAAUACAAUUGGGACUCACAGAUGGAGCGAAUGUGGUUCUGUUGGUAAAAAUAAAGGAACAGUUAGGUCAAAAUGAAAGGUUGUCAUUCCUCUUAA
Molecule: long non-coding RNA, 535 nt
Organism: Aphidius gifuensis
Lineage: Eukaryota; Metazoa; Arthropoda; Insecta; Hymenoptera; Braconidae
Exons: 2
Source: RefSeq, a predicted model, not a curated record